AUGACUGCACCAGGGAUGAUUGUGGAGAGAAGCUAUACCUGCAGUUUUACCAACAGAUGCAGAAAGAAUGAGGCACCUUCUAACUGUCAUUGCCAUCAGCAAGGAGCAAAACUGCUAAAGGAUUUGGACUUCUGGGAUAUUCUUGAUAUCAACCUGCAAAAUGGCCACUGUUUGGAGGGAGACCUGACCUUUUGCCAAUGCCAGGAUGUUGCGGUUUAGGCCCGGCUGGCAACUAAGCACCAUGAGGCUGCUUGCCCACUUCUUCCCCUGGUGGGAAAAGGAGGAGAAUUGGAAGAAAAAGGUAAAAACUUGUGGGUUGAGAUAAGGACAGGUUAAUAGGGUGACACAAGAAAAGAAGAAAUAAUAACAGUAAUACUAAUAAAAUAAUGUAAGAAGUGUGAUGCA
This 405-nucleotide long non-coding RNA is filed under the name Athene cunicularia (burrowing owl). RNAcentral's name for it is "lncRNA (ENSACUG00000004988.1)". Lineage: Eukaryota; Metazoa; Chordata; Aves; Strigiformes; Strigidae. The record is from RNAcentral.